Molecule: ribosomal RNA, 914 nt
Filed under: uncultured Herbaspirillum sp.
Lineage: Bacteria; Pseudomonadati; Pseudomonadota; Betaproteobacteria; Burkholderiales; Oxalobacteraceae
Description: bacterial SSU rRNA
Rfam family: Bacterial small subunit ribosomal RNA
Source: RNAcentral
AGAGUUUGAUCAUGGCUCAGAUUGAACGCUGGCGGCAUGCCUUACACAUGCAAGUCGAACGGCAGCACGGGAGCUUGCUCCUGGUGGCGAGUGGCGAACGGGUGAGUAAUAUAUCGGAACGUGCCCUAGAGUGGGGGAUAACUAGUCGAAAGAUUAGCUAAUACCGCAUACGAUCUACGGAUGAAAGUGGGGGAUCGCAAGACCUCAUGCUCAUGGAGCGGCCGAUAUCUGAUUAGCUAGUUGGUGGGGUAAAAGCUCACCAAGGCGACGAUCAGUAGCUGGUCUGAGAGGACGACCAGCCACACUGGAACUGAGACACGGUCCAGACUCCUACGGGAGGCAGCAGUGGGGAAUUUUGGACAAUGGGCGCAAGCCUGAUCCAGCAAUGCCGCGUGAGUGAAGAAGGCCUUCGGGUUGUAAAGCUCUUUUGUCAGGGAAGAAACGGUCUUGGUUAAUACCUGGGGCUAAUGACGGUACCUGAAGAAUAAGCACCGGCUAACUACGUGCCAGCAGCCGCGGUAAUACGUAGGGUGCAAGCGUUAAUCGGAAUUACUGGGCGUAAAGCGUGCGCAGGCGGUUAUACAAGACAGAUGUGAAAUCCCCGGGCUCAACCUGGGAAUUGCAUUUGUGACUGUAUGGCUAGAGUGUGUCAGAGGGGGGUAGAAUUCCACGUGUAGCAGUGAAAUGCGUAGAUAUGUGGAGGAAUACCGAUGGCGAAGGCAGCCCCCUGGGAUAACACUGACGCUCAUGCACGAAAGCGUGGGGAGCAAACAGGAUUAGAUACCCUGGUAGUCCACGCCCUAAACGAUGUCUACUAGUUGUCGGGUCUUAAUUGACUUGGUAACGCAGCUAACGCGUGAAGUAGACCGCCUGGGGAGUACGGUCGCAAGAUUAAAACUCAAAUGAAUUGACGG